Molecule: long non-coding RNA, 874 nt
Filed under: Papio anubis (olive baboon)
Lineage: Eukaryota; Metazoa; Chordata; Mammalia; Primates; Cercopithecidae
Description: lncRNA (ENSPANG00000036397.2)
Source: RNAcentral
UAUAAUUGGAAUUUUUCCUGGUUCUGGUACUUGAAUAAGAGUCUUGUUUUUCUUUUCCUCUGUUCUAUUCUUUUGCUUCUGCUAGUGAUCAUAAGCCAGUUGCUCAAAGACCGGUGUGGAAAGGGCUUAAGAAGGAAGAGGACCAGAGGGAAAUUACCAUCUGGAGACAAGAUGACACUGGGAACUUGGAGGAAAACGUUCAGUCUUUUCAAGUGCCCUGAAGACCACCUUGCUUAAAAGGUUUACUUGAAACAAUUGUAACAAUAAUCUGGAGGCAAGAUUUGGCUAAUAUUGUAUCUGGCAUCAGGAAAACAGAAUUCUCCACUGCACCGUCUGGACCCCAGUGCAAGUAAGAUCUAAUUCUCAUGCUUUGUGUCCAAAGAUCCUUUCAUGCAAGGGUGGGAGGUAUCUCUAAACCUUCAGACAACAUAUCUUGAAUACCACUACUGUCACCAAAGAGGACCUAUUCGUAAUAUUCAUUAUGCUUUUAUACAAGCAUGAUUUUCACAAAUGAAGCCCCAUUUCCUAUGUGCAUUAUCUUAAUUGGCAAAAAUCUAGCACUGACAAGAAAAAAAGAUAGCUGAAGUCCUUGCAGUACAUUUCUCUGAAGUGAGGACUUUCUGAUGUCUACUAGGUGAUCAUCCCUGGAAAGUGAAUUAUCAAUUAAGGGUAUAACUUAAACUAAAUAAUAUAUACAUAAUAUCACACAUCAGUGUUGAUGUACUUUAAAGUAAAUGUAAGGUAUGCAAGUCACUAUUCACAAUAGCAGAAAUAUGGAAUAAACUCAGGUGCCCAUCAACAGUGACUUGGAUAAGGAAAAUAUGUUACAUAUGCACCACGGAAUACUACACAGUUAUAAAAAGAAUGAAAUCAU